AUUGAUGUGCAUAUCAAUACCAUAGGACUGAUGCUAUCAUUCAGCAAGUGAUACGUGAGCAAUUCACCGAAUGUACCAUACUUACCAUUGCUCAUAGAUUAGAUACAGUUAUGGACUUUGACAGGAUAAUGGUACUGAGCUCUGGUGAACUUAUAGAAUUUGAUGAGCCUCAUAUGCUCCUCAAUCAGUCGUCAUCUUAUCUCAGUAAACUGGUAGAACAAACUGGACCAGCCAAUGCUGAAAGACUUAGGAAUAUGGCAAUGGAGUCUUAUUGUAAGAGACACAACAACUGAUUAACAUAAUGAUUGGUUUAAUUGGCACAUUCUUAGAAUAGCGGGCAUUUUCUUACAAUUCAAUGUUAUUUUUAAUUUACUACUAA
This is a long non-coding RNA of Amphimedon queenslandica, 379 nucleotides long. RefSeq lists it as uncharacterized. Lineage: Eukaryota; Metazoa; Porifera; Demospongiae; Haplosclerida; Niphatidae. The transcript has 2 exons. The record is from RefSeq and is a predicted model, not a curated record.